CACGCUGUCAACGAUGAGUACUAGGUGUCGGGGGUUACCCCCUUCGGUGCCGCAGCUAACGCAUUAAGUACUCCGCCGGGGAAGUACGCUCGCAAGAGUGAAACUCAAAGGAAUUGACGGGGACCCGAACAAGUAGCGGAGCAUGUGGUUUAAUUCGAAGCAACGCGAAGAACCUUACCUAAGCUUGACAUCCCAAUGACAUCUC
Molecule: ribosomal RNA, 205 nt
Filed under: Clostridioides difficile
Lineage: Bacteria; Bacillati; Bacillota; Clostridia; Peptostreptococcales; Peptostreptococcaceae
Description: partial 16S ribosomal RNA
Rfam family: Bacterial small subunit ribosomal RNA
Source: RNAcentral